GAGCACGUAGGUGGGUUUGUAAGUCAGAUGUGAAAUCCCUCGGCUUAACCGGGGAACUGCGUUUGAUACUGCGGUCCUUGAGUACAGGAGGGGAGAGUGGAAUUCCUGGUGGAGCGGUGAAAUGCGUAGAUAUUAGGAAGAACGCCGGAGGCGAAAGCGACUCUCUGGCCUGUUACUGACGCUGAGGUGCGAAAGCCAAGGGAGCGAACAGGAUUAGAUACCCUGGUAGUCUUGGCUGUAAACGAUGGGCACUAAGUAGAGGGGUUUU
Molecule: ribosomal RNA, 268 nt
Filed under: uncultured bacterium
Lineage: Bacteria
Description: partial large subunit ribosomal RNA
Rfam family: Bacterial small subunit ribosomal RNA
Source: RNAcentral